Molecule: long non-coding RNA, 316 nt
Organism: Sander lucioperca (pikeperch)
Lineage: Eukaryota; Metazoa; Chordata; Actinopteri; Perciformes; Percidae
Exons: 3
Source: RefSeq, a predicted model, not a curated record
GGCCAGUGUAAGUUGCUUUAUAAAAGUGUAUUUAUUUGGUCUUGUAAUUUACAGGAAGCAGUAUCCCGUCUUCACAACUCAGAGACAAAUUGUAGGCGCUACGAACCGGAGCAAGGACUAACCUCGCAUCAUAACGAGGCCGUGACCUAUAUUUGCUCGGAGCUAUGUCUGCAAGUCCAGAUUUACAUGAUGUUGACAAUGACGGCAUUGUGUCUGCCUGUAAUUACGAGACAGUAAGCAGGAGCUUCAGGUAGAAACAACCAGAUCUUGCAUCACAGGCGGAAGCUGUGAAGAGUUCAGCUCAGAGUCCAGCGAG